This 307-nucleotide unclassified non-coding RNA is filed under the name plant metagenome. RNAcentral's name for it is "partial contains 5.8S ribosomal RNA, internal transcribed spacer 2, and large subunit ribosomal RNA". The stretch from base 1 to 105 matches the Rfam family "5.8S ribosomal RNA", at positions 50 to 154 of the family's 154-position model. The record is from RNAcentral.
GAGAUGCGAUAAGUAGUGUGAAUUGCAGAAUUCAGUGAAUCAUCGAAUCUUUGAACGCACAUUGCGCCCCUCGGCAUUCCGUGGGGCAUGCCUGUUCGAGCGUCAUCUACACCCUCAAGCUCUGCUUGGUGUUGGGCGUCUGUCCCGCCUCCGCGCGCGGACUCGCCCCAAAUGCAUUGGCAGCGGUUCCUUGCCCCCCUCUUUGCGCAGCACAUUGCCAUUCGAGGCGGCGGCGGCCCGCGUCCAACAAGCUCAACCCCCCCGUCUUUGACCUCGGAUCAGGUAGGGAUACCCGCUGAACUUAAGC